AAAACUUCAGCAGGAAGUGAAAAGUUUGAGAGUUUGUGUGUGAGCAUGCGCAGUUCCACCCUGUUGAUCUGCACGUGUUUACCUGAAGUCCAGCCUGUUAGGAGCCUCAGACACACAAUGAGUUCAGCAGGAACAGGAUCAUCUCUGCGGGUCCAUGCAGUCCGAUUUGGUCCUGGUCAGGAGCUGCUGGGGUCUCUGCAGGCCUUUGUGGAGGAAAGACGACUCCGAGCACCGUUCAUCAUCACCUGUGUGGGCAGCGUCACCAAGGCAACGCUGAGGCUGGCCAACGCCACGGCGACAAAUACAAACGAGGUACUUGGCAGCAGCAUGGAGGCCUGAGGACACCACGAGGGUUAAAGCUCUCGGCCUUCUGUCUCAGGUGAUGCACCUCACAGGGAGGUUUGAGAUCGUCUCCCUGGUCGGAACGCUCAACCCAGAAGCCCACCUCCACAUCAGCCUGGCGGACGGCGAGGGCAGGACAAUCGGGGGACACGUGUUGGGGGAUCUGGAGGUUUUCACCACAGCCGAGGUGGUCGUUGGGGAGGCGGUUGACCUGCAGUUCACCAGAGAGAUGGACCAACAGACGGGUUUCCCUGAACUGGUGGUUAGAGGACGUUCACAGACAAAUGAAUCAGCCUGACUGGACUUAAACCUGUCCUCACUGUCAUCUUUAUUAUCAGAAAACAAAACUGAAUUUUAUUAAUAUUUUGAAGAUAAUUCACUCUAUUUUAGGUGUAAUAAAUGUCAAAGAAAAAAGCAACGAAAAAA
Amphiprion ocellaris (clown anemonefish) is the source of this 768-nucleotide RNA transcript. It is a transcript of the gene named bifunctional protein GlmU-like, with no coding region annotated. Lineage: Eukaryota; Metazoa; Chordata; Actinopteri; Pomacentridae. The record is from RefSeq and is a predicted model, not a curated record. The transcript is spliced from 3 exons.